Molecule: ribosomal RNA, 500 nt
Filed under: uncultured bacterium
Lineage: Bacteria
Description: bacterial SSU rRNA
Rfam family: Bacterial small subunit ribosomal RNA
Source: RNAcentral
AGAGUUUGAUCAUGGCUCAGAUUGAACGCUGGCGGCGUGCCUAACACAUGCAAGUCGAGCGGUAACAGGUGUAGCAAUACAUGCUGACGAGCGGCGGACGGGUGAGUAACGCUUGGGAAUCUGCCUGAUAGUGGGGGACAACCCGGGGAAACUCGGGCUAAUACCGCAUACGCACUACGGUGGAAAGCCGGGGACCGCAAGGCCUGGCGCUAACAGAUGAGCCCAAGUCGGAUUAGCUAGUUGGUAGGGUAACGGCCUACCAAGGCGACGAUCCGUAACUGGUCUGAGAGGACGACCAGUCACACCGGAACUGAGACACGGUCCGGACUCCUACGGGAGGCAGCAGUGGGGAAUAUUGGACAAUGGGCGAAAGCCUGAUCCAGCGACGCCGCGUGGGUGAAGAAGGCCUGCGGGUUGUAAAGCCCUUUCGGUGGGGAAGAAAAGCCUCGAGUUAAUACCUCGGGGUCUUGACGUAACCCAUAGAAGAAGCACCGGCUAAC